This 453-nucleotide ribosomal RNA is filed under the name uncultured bacterium. Its description in RNAcentral is "bacterial SSU rRNA". It matches the Rfam family "Bacterial small subunit ribosomal RNA", at positions 340 to 786 of the family's 1533-position model. The record is from RNAcentral.
UACGGAAGGCAGCAGUGGGGAAUAUUGCACAAUGGGCGCAAGCCUGAUGCAGCCAUGCCGCGUGUAUGAAAAAGGCCUUCGGGUUGUAAAGUACUUUCAGUCGUGAGGAAGGUGUUAAGGUUAAUAACCUUAGCAAUUGACGUUAGCGACAGAAGAAGCACCGGCUAACUCCGUGCCAGCAGCCGCGGUAAUACGGAGGGUGCGAGCGUUAAUCGGAAUUACUGGGCGUAAAGGGCACGCAGGCGGUUAAUUAAGUUGGAUGUGAAAUCCCCGGGCUUAACCUGGGAAUGGCAUUCAAGACUGGUUAGCUAGAGUCUUGUAGAGGGGGUAGAAUUCCAUGUGUAGCGGUGAAAUGCGUAGAGAUGUGGAGGAAUACCGGUGGCGAAGGCGGCCCCUGGACAAAGACUGACGCUCAUGUGCGAAAGCGUGGGGAGCAAACGAGGAUUAGAUACC